This 465-nucleotide ribosomal RNA is filed under the name Vreelandella stevensii. Its description in RNAcentral is "partial 16S ribosomal RNA". It matches the Rfam family "Bacterial small subunit ribosomal RNA", at positions 338 to 795 of the family's 1533-position model. The record is from RNAcentral. Lineage: Bacteria; Pseudomonadati; Pseudomonadota; Gammaproteobacteria; Oceanospirillales; Halomonadaceae.
CCUACGUGUGGCAGCAGUGGGGAAUAUUGGACAAUGGGCGAAAGCCUGAUCCAGCCAUGCCGCGUGUGUGAAGAAGGCCUUCGGGUUGUAAAGCACUUUCAGUGGGGAAGAAAGCCUUGGGGCUAAUACCCUCGAGGAAGGACAUCACCCACAGAAGAAGCACCGGCUAACUCCGUGCCAGCAGCCGCGGUAAUACGGAGGGUGCGAGCGUUAAUCGGAAUUACUGGGCGUAAAGCGCGCGUAGGCGGUCUGAUAAGCCGGUUGUGAAAGCCCCGGGCUCAACCUGGGAACGGCAUCCGGAACUGGCAGGCUAGAGUGCAGGAGAGGAAGGUAGAAUUCCCGGUGUAGCGGUGAAAUGCGUAGAGAUCGGGAGGAAUACCAGUGGCGAAGGCGGCCUCCUGGACUGACACUGACGCUGAGGUGCGAAAGCGUGGGUAGCAAACAGGAUUAGAUACCCGGGUAGUC